UAGAAGCUUGCUUCUAUGACGUUAGCGGCGGACGGGUGAGUAACACGUGGGCAACCUGCCUGUAAGACUGGGAUAACUUCGGGAAACCGAAGCUAAUACCGGAUAGGAUCUUCUCCUUCAUGGGAGAUGAUUGAAAGAUGGUUUCGGCUAUCACUUACAGAUGGGCCCGCGGUGCAUUAGCUAGUUGGUGAGGUAACGGCUCACCAAGGCAACGAUGCAUAGCCGACCUGAGAGGGUGAUCGGCCACACUGGGACUGAGACACGGCCCAGACUCCUACGGGAGGCAGCAGUAGGGAAUCUUCCGCAAUGGACGAAAGUCUGACGGAGCAACGCCGCGUGAGUGAUGAAGGCUUUCGGGUCGUAAAACUCUGUUGUUAGGGAAGAACAAGUACAAGAGUAACUGCUUGUACCUUGACGGUACCUAACCAGAAAGCCACGGCUAACUACGUGCCAGCAGCCGCGGUAAUACGUAGGUGGCAAGCGUUAUCCGGAAUUAUUGGGCGUAAAGCGCGCGCAGGCGGUUUCUUAAGUCUGAUGUGAAAGCCCACGGCUCAACCGUGGAGGGUCAUUGGAAACUGGGGAACUUGAGUGCAGAAGAGAAAAGCGGAAUUCCACGUGUAGCGGUGAAAUGCGUAGAGAUGUGGAGGAACACCAGUGGCGAAGGCGGCUUUUUGGUCUGUAACUGACGCUGAGGCGCGAAAGCGUGGGGAGCAAACAGGAUUAGAUACCCCUGGGUAGUCCACG
Molecule: ribosomal RNA, 744 nt
Filed under: Bacillus sp. (in: firmicutes)
Lineage: Bacteria; Bacillati; Bacillota; Bacilli; Caryophanales; Bacillaceae
Description: bacterial SSU rRNA
Rfam family: Bacterial small subunit ribosomal RNA
Source: RNAcentral